Molecule: long non-coding RNA, 27777 nt
Filed under: Daucus carota (carrot)
Lineage: Eukaryota; Viridiplantae; Streptophyta; Magnoliopsida; Apiales; Apiaceae
Description: long non-coding RNA (DCAR_LNC003002)
Source: RNAcentral
UAAGAAGAAGGAGUCAUAUUCGGACGGCUUAGUUAAUGCGAUAAAAGGGACAAGCUGAUGAGGAGUUUUUUGUCGCAGAGGGUGAUGAGCAUCUUGAGGAUGAUGUUUCUGGCGGUUAAGUAAAGCAUAGAGAAUGGCUUUCAUCCAGGUGGUGCCAGAUUUGGGUGGAGUUACAAGGAAGACAUCGUUUUGUCGAGGUCGAAAAUGUUGUUGACAGUCGAUCAAGCCUUUCAAACUUAUAGAACCAAACCAGAAUCCUUGGUAUUGAUAAGUGUAGUCUUCAGUUAUGCCUUUGGCUUUUGGCAGGGAUGAAAGCCAUUCUUGGCUACAAACCACAGGCUCAGCGUCAGACUCUGUUGUUUUCGCUUCCAUGAUAUGUUAUGUUAACAUGCAAAGAAAAGACAUGUGAUAUAUUAUAAUAUUGGACACCACUAGCCCAGGGACCUAUAGCAUAUUCCUCGAUUAAAUAAUUGGAUUACAGCUCUACAAUCACAAACCGUUAGAAAGAGUAGGACCCCUAGGUAUUACAUUUAUGGAAAAUGCUUAUUGCACAUAAUUGUGUACUAAAACAUGUACAUAAUGAUAUGUGUCAGAUUUUAAUUGGAUGACCCCCUGCAUUUACACCAAUCACCCCAAUUAAAACCCACCACAUCACUUGCCACAUCAUUAUGUACAAAUUUUCUGUACACAAUUAUGUGCACCUAGCACUACUCUACAUUUAUAGUAGUGUUACAUACACAAAAUUGGAUACUCCCUCUGUCCCAUUUAAUUCUAUACGUUUCUUUUUAACUGCUCGACACGCAUUUCAAUGCUCUUAUAAAAUAUAGUUCCGUAACUUUUUUUUGAGAUUUUCUUUUUCUGUAUAAAAAUAUAACAUCCAAACUUUAAUACAGAAAAGAAAAAUUUUAAAAACAAAUUGCACAACUACAUUUUGCAGGAGCAUUAAAGUCCGUGCCGCGUCCCCGUCCCCCAAUGUAUACAACUCAGGGGGACGGAGGGAGUACAUAAUUUUGGACAAAAUGACAUGACAAGUAAGGUGGGAAGUUUUAAGUGGUGCUAUUAAUGCAUAUACAGGGGCCAAUCAAAUCACAAGUUAACACAUACUUAUUCUGUGAAUGUUUUUGUACACAAUCCUGUGCAUCUAACAUUUUCCUUACAGUUAAUAUAAAUACAUAUUUUAAAAAUUAUUUUAAUUUUUUUACAUUGUUGUGUGUGUCAGAAAUAAUUUUAAAAUAUAAUACAUAAACUUUGAGGGAACACAGGAGGUAAAGUAGCUAUUAGAGACUAAAUAUAUACACUGUUACCUCUCAAACAGUUAAAGUGAACGGCGUAUUUGGACGGAAUAGUGACUAGGGUUUACAACUUGCACGGUAAUGUCAAGUGUAAGGUGCAUAUUGCCACGUUUUAAAGUUUAGGUACUAAACUGCGUUUGAAGCAAAACUAAGAGAUACAAAAUGUAAUUAACUCUUCAAUUAUUUCCCAGCUGAUUGACAAAUUUGCUGUUGUUUAUCCACCCAGCAGUUGCUCAGUCAUUUGUAGUGUACAGAAUGCUACUCCCUCCGAUUCUAAUUACUUUUCCCGUUUGAAAUGUCGGUACUGUUCAUAACACGAGACAAAUUACUAAUUUACGUAUAAUCUAUAAGAUAAAAUAUAGUCAUGAGUGAUCUUAUUGGAUUCGUAUUUAUAAGUACUUUAAUACGGUGAAAGUUUUAUAUUUAAAACUAAUAUAAAAUUAAAGAUAUUUAUAAUCAAAAAUGUGUAUUGGCAAACGUGAAAAGGACAAAUGGGAAAAGUAUUUAGGGACGGAGGGAGUAACAGACAUAGGCAACAUCAUCGUUUAAUCUUAGUAUUGGCCAAUAAAUUCAGAUGAAACUGUGGUUUCUUUCAGAUUUGGGUGAAUCGGCAUAUAUGAUAUACCUGACAUUAGUAGGAUAUAAAUAGAAAUAGCCUUGCUUUCGUAUUUUUUUCUUGUUGAGUUACGGUGAGAAGUUAUUAUUGCUCAAUAUUUAUAUUCAGACAUAAUUUUGAUAGAUUUUGGAGUCUUCUAAUUAGAAUAUGAUAAUAAGGUGAUGAUUUUUGCAUGAGUAUAUCAAAUUUAUAUAUUCACUUUUCAUUAUGUAAUACACGCCUAUGACUCAAUGGGGUGGACAAUCAAAAUCGCCUAAAAACCAAAGAUAUUAUUGACAUGCAUGCAUCUGGUGUAAAUAUAAUUCCUAACUAUGUUAUAAACUCCCUCACCAACUAUUGGAUACAUCACAUAUGCGAAAUUUAUUAAAAUCUUGUUAUUCGGGACUAAGGGAAUUUUUUGGAUAUUUUGAACUGAUAAUUUUGUGAGAUUUUCGGAGUAUUCUAUACUUUCAUAAUCAACGAAAAGUGUUGAAGUUUGCAUUUAAAUUCUAAAAACUCUUUUGCAUAAAAUGAAAAAUAAAUAUAAUUUAUUAACAUUCAUAAAUUAUUAUUACUUAAUUAAAAUCCGAAUCAAACAACACCUUAAUUGAAACGUGCUCCUGAGAAGGUACAGUACUUGGUAUACAUCGAGGGAGUACUACUUAAAAAUGCAUACAUAUGAUGAUAAGCCAUCUCAAACUCAUACUUUCAGGGACAUAAAACAAAGAGACACAAACAAGCCAACAAGAAGAUCAAUAAUACAAGCAACAAACACACAUUAAAUUCGAUAUUAAUUUUGGCCAUAAUGUAUAUAAGUGAUGAUGAUAUAUAUAUAUAUAUCAAAGUUUUAAUCCUGAACCACGGAACUUGUCCUGGGUAAUCUGAUCCAACUUAGCAGCCAUCUCUGGAGUUAGCCACUUAUUUCCUUCUCCAACUUGACCGUUCCGAAAAUAUGAAGAAUUGCUUACUCCGGGCAAGAAAUGUCCUGUGCUAUUAACCUGCAGUUUGCUCAUGCUCCCAAAACUACACAAACUCGUGAUCUGAUCAACCAUUUCCAUUAAUUCCUCCUCUGGUGAGAAGGGUCUCCCCAGAAACCGCGCCAGACGCCUGAGUUGAGCAUGAGGCUCAGACUUCAACUCUUCAUACCUCAUAAACAGCACCUUGUUUGGUCUCUCCAGGCUUUCCUUCCAAUAUUCCAAGAUUUGAUCCCAGAUAGGACCCGCAACGUUUGUGCCUUUGCAGAAUAAAUGAAAUGCCUCCUCCAAAGAAACGGGAGAAGAUCGUAAACCCAGGGCCGGCUCAUAAUGAAGGCGAGUUAGGCAAUCGCCUAAGGCCCCCAUCUGGAGAAGGCCCCAAAAUUUUAUUGGUAUGUAUUUAUGUAGGUAUAUAUGUACAAAAAUAAAUAAACUAGCUUCAUGAUUUAAAAGAAUAAAAAAAAAAUAUUCGAAUUAUCUUACAAUAGGCCCCAAAAUGAAAUUAAUAUGUAUACAUUGAGGUAUAUUUAUAUAUGCAAAAAGAAAUUAGUUUCAUGAUAUUAAAAGAAAAAUUAAAAAAGAACUAGAAUUAAUAUCUAAAUCUGGUAAAAAAAUUGAGAAAUACUGUGUGAUAAUUUUUUUUGAAAAGAAUGAUAACUAAAAUAUUAAUAUUGAUAGUUUUAGUCAUGUUUUUUUUGUGCUAACUUAAUAAAUACUUGAUUUGAAUCUCUAACUAAUAAUAAAUAUGUAAAUAAUUUUUUUAUUGGGAUGUAACUUGGUUCUUGUGAACAUAAAAUUUAGUUCUCAAAAAUAAAAAAAUGUUAGAGAUUCUAUUAUGAUUUUUUCAGUCUCUCUUCAUUUUAAUUACUUUUUAAAUUUUAAUUUUAAUAACACAAAUACUUUUAUUAUAAUAUUAAAUAAUAUAAAACUAUCAAUGUAUAUAAGUUAUUUAUGUUAUACACAAGACACGUUACACUGAUUAACAUUAAUUUAUAAUGUUAAUGUCAUUUUUCAUCUCCGGGUCUUCUAGAGUCUAAACAAUUUACUUAAUUAUCUAAACAUCAUCUUUACUCUAUAUCUUUACUCUAUAUCUUCUCCGUCCAGUUUUUGCAAAAAAAAAAAAAAUUACUUCUGAGUUUUAUAUUAUAAUAUUUAAUAUUAAAAAAAUAUUUAUAUUAGUAAUAUAAUAUUUAAAUUUUUGCUUAGGCCUCAUUUUGAGGUUCCGCCUAAGGCCACAAAAUUUCUUGAGCCGGUCCUGCGUAAACCAAUUUUGUUUGCGAAGUGAAAGAGUGAAGUAAAAGUGUCCUUGAUGUCCCUGCACAAAUACACAAUCUUGAUGUUAGUUGAUCCAUCAUCAUCCUCCUCUGUUAUGGACUUGGGGAGGCAACGUAUAGGAAAAUGGCAGCCAAAGAUCCUACUAGUGCUGUCUAAGAAUAAGGAGUCAUAUUCGGACGGCUUAGUUAAUUCCAUAAAAGGGACAAGCUGAUGAGGAGUCUUUUGUCGCAGAGGGUGAUGAGCAUCUUGAGGAUGAUAUUUUUGGCGGUGAAGUAAAGCAUAGAGAAUGGCUUUCAUCCAGGUGGUGCCAGAUUUGGGUGCAGUUACAAGCAAGACAUCGUUUUGUCGAGGCCGAAAAUGUUGUUGACAGUCGAUCAAGCCUUGCAAACUUAUAGUACCAAACCAGAAUCCUUGGUAUUGAUAAGUGUUGUCUUCCGUUAUGCCUUUGGCUUUUGGCAGGGAUGAAAGCCAUUCUUCGCUAUAAACCACUGUCUCAUCAUGCUCUGUUGUUUUUGCUUCCAUGAUACUUUGUUGUGUAACAUUGAAAGCAAAAAAAUGUGAUAUAUAAUGCAUUCAGCAUCAAUGCCUUGCUCUGUCGUUGGUGGCGUUGGUUUCCCUGCAGGUAAACGUUAUAUAUCAUAUUAAUGCUCGCAUCCGAGUUGGUUGGAAAAUUGAUAAAACUAACAAACAUUUCCAAUACUAUCAACAUGUCUGCCCAACAUGUGUGAGCCUAUUAAUAGACAUGGGCAAUACUAUCAUCGUUUAAUCUUAACAUUGGUCGAUAAACUAAGACCAUCUCCAAUCAUAAUUUUAUAAAUAAAGCAACUUCAUCUUUAUUUUCACUUUUUUCACUUUAUAUUUUUAUUCCAUCUCCAAUCAUUACUUUAUUUUAUAAAUAAAGCAAUUUGUGUUUUAUCUUCAAGUUCAACUUCAUAUAUAAAGUAGGAUAGUGCAUGACUUUAUAUAUAAAGAUAGAGUAAUAGAUGAUCGGAGAUGGAUUACUUUAUUUGAAAAAUUAAAAGUGAAGAUAUACUAAGUAUAGAGUGAUGGUUGGAGAUGCCUUAAGGUUGUUUCUAUCUGAUCUGGGUGGCCUUGGAUAUUAAUGCUUGCACCAGAGUUGGUUGGAAUAAUUUGAUAAACAAAGACGUGAUGUUGAUAUAAUGCAUUCACCAUUGAUGUCUUGUUGAUAGAGGUGGCCAAACGGACUAAACCGACUGAACCGGCACGCCCCGAACCGGGUUUUUAACCGCCCGAAACCGUCUAAAUACGGGCCGGUUCGAAACCGUCAUGAACCGAUAUGAGCACGUGCCGAAUACGGGUUGACAAAUAAGGAACCGAACCGUAACCGGCCCGGAACCGCUAGAAUCCAUGGAACCGACGCAGUUGGAACCGCGGAACCGCGGUUUGAACUGUGGAACCGCAAAACCGCGGAACCGCGGUUCAAACCGUGUAAGGUGCAUGUACAAAGGGUGCUUGGUAACCAAUUUUGUGAUAUAAUUACAAGUUUUUGCUUUCUGUAUUUUUGUACAGGGGUAUUAAUUUGUUACUCUUUGUUUUAUUUCGUUUGUUUUGUUAAUUUUAGUUUUUGUUUAGUUAGUUUAGUUUAUUUCGUUAACCUUAAAUAUAGUUUACUUAAUUUUAUUUCGUUUUAGUUAUUAAGUUUAGGUAAUUUUAUUUAAAAAAAUAAUUUAGUUAGUUUUAUUUCGGUUAAGUUUUCAUACUCAAAUAAUUUUCGUUUAGAAAAAUAAUUUAGUUAAUUUUAUUUAGGUUAAGUUUUUAAAUUUAGGUAAUUAUUUAUUAGUUUACAAUUUAUUGAUAAUUAAUUUCAUAUUAAUACUUAACAAAAAUAAUUUCCCAAAUUAAUAUCAUAUAAAACUUUAUUAUCAAAAUUUUAAAUUUUAAGAAUUAUUAAAAUUUACACAUGUUAUUAUAAAACAAAAAAAAAACAAAAAAGCAACACAUGCAUGUUAAGUGAGCCAGACAAUAAUUGAAGAGCCACGCUGAACCGCAGAACAUGAACCGCGAACUGCGGAACCGCUUAAACCGGCACGAACCGCCAACCCGUCUCAACCGUGUGAACCGUAUAACACGGUUUCGGUUUUCAUUUCCAUCAGCCCGGCCCGGCACGGACCGGACAGCCAGUCUUGACGUGCCGGUUACGGUUUCAUCGCUGACAGUUCGGCCCGCGGUUGAAUUGGCCCGAACCGCCCCGGCCCGCCCGAAUGGCCACCUCUACUUGUUGAGCACUGCUUUAUUAUUAUUAUGGGUUUUUCCUUGCGUGAGUAGGCUAAAAGGUCGCUCAACUCAUGACCAACUUACAGUUUCAUAACUCAAAAAGCUUAUUAAUAAAUUACACAACUAGAUUUAACUUACUAUUUAAUCAUUAACAUUAAAAAUGUUUCCACCACCGUUAACUCUUGUUUGACUUUUAACUAAAAAUAUUAGUCAAUUGGGUCUUUCGGUUAUUUAAAUACAAAUUUUUAUUAGUUCCGUAAACCAACUGCAAGUUGAGGACCAUUCGAUCAUGUAUUAGCCUAUUGACUUGUUUCAUUUAAUAAAAAUGCCCUAUUCAGUUCAAACCCAAUUUUUUUGAAUAAAAUUAAUCUAUCAUCUUAUUAUGAAAUUAUAGAAGUGAUCCAUAAUUUUUUUUUAAAAAGGUACUCCCUCUGUCCCAUUUUAACUGAUGUUUGACUUUUUAACACGUAUAUUGAGGUGUAAAAAAAUAAUAUCUACACUCAAUAAAAAAUUUCAAUUCUUAUAUCAAAUAAAAGUUUAGACUCUAAACUUUUAUUUGAUAUAAAUUUUAUAAAAAAUAAUCAUGUUUAGAUGUAAUUUUUUUAACAUCUUAAAAUACGUGUAAAAAAGUCAAAAGCAGUUAAAAUGGGACGGAGGGAGUACUUUUUAAAAAAUUGACAUUUUUCUCUACUUUAAAUUUUAUUAAAUCAUAGAAGUGCUCAUUGUCCCCCCCCCCUAAUUUGAAAAUAUGAAGGUAAUUUCCAUAAAAUUGACAUUUUUCAUAAUUGUAAAUCUUAUGAAAUUAUUGAAGUUCAAAAUUUUUAUUGUGCGAGUCAUGAGAAUGAUUUAUAUUGGUGGAAAAUUUUGUUCUAUUCUACUAUUAUUAAUUAUUAAUGUGAUGAGAGUCAAUAAAAAUAUGUUAGCUAUUUAGAGAGUAAUUGGUUGUUAUGCCGGUUGAUGGCACAUACUAGAAAAUUGGAUUAUUAUUAAUAAUGCUUGCAACAAGUUUAUUGAAAAAAUUGAUAAAAAUAACAUCAUGUCAGUAGAAAACUGACCGAAAAUGAUAAUUUCCGGAUUUUAUUAUUACUCAAUUGCAAAGAGAGUAUUUGUAUUUGUGUGCAAAGAGACACUUGUUUCCCUCUCCAACUUGACCAUUCCGAAAGAAGGAAGAAUUGCUUACUCCAGGCAACAAAUUUCCAGUGCUAUUAACCUGCAGUUUGCUCAUGCUACCAAAACUACACAAACUCGUGAUCUGAUCAACCAUUUCCAUAUUCUCCUCCUCCGGUGAGAAGGGCCUCCCCAGAAACUGAGCCAGACGCCUGAGUUGAGCAUGAGGCUCAGACUUUAACUCUUCAUACCUCAUAAACAGCACCUUGUUUGGUCUUUCUAGGCUUUCCUUCCAAUAUUCCAAGAUUUGAUCCCAUAUAGGACCCGCCACGUUUGUGCCUUGGCAGAAGAAAUGAAAUGCCUCCUCCAAAGAAACAGGAGAAGAUCGUAAACCAAUAUUGUUGGCGAAGUGAAAGAGUGAAGUAGAAGUGUCCUUGAUGUCCCUGCAGAAAUACACAAUCUUGAUGUUAGCUGAUCCAUCCUCCUCCGUUAUGGACUUGGGGAGGCAACCUAUAGGAAAAUGGCAGCCAAAGAUCCUACUAGUGCUGUCUAAGAAUAAGGAGUCAUAUUCGGACGGCUUGGUUAAUGCGAUAAAAGGGACAAGCUGGUGAGGAGAAUUUUUCGCAGGGGGUGAUGAGCAUCUUGAGGAUGAUGUUUCUGGCGGUGAAGUAAAGCAUAGAGAAUGGCGCUUUCAUCCAGGUGGUGCCUGAUUUGGGUGCAGUCACGAGGAAGACAUCGUUUUCUCGAGGUCGAAAAUGUUGUUGACAGUCGAUCAAGCCUUGCAAACUUAAAGUACCAAACCAGAAUCCUUGGUAUUGAUAAGUGUAGUCUUCAGUUACGCCUUUGGCUUUUGGCAGGGAUGAAAGCCAUUCUUGGCUACAAACCAGUGUCUGAUCAUGCUGAGGAGACUCUGUUGUUUUCGCUUCCAUGAUAUUAGAGCUGUUCACGAACCGAGUCGAGCCGAGUUUUGACGUAAACGAGCCGAGUUUUUAUUUUUUCUCUGACGAACCGAGCCGAGCCGAGCUUUCUUACCGAACAAAAAAACAUGUUCGAGCUCGAGUUCGUUACCUCACGAGCCGAACACGAGCUUGUUCGCGAACAAAUUCGAGCCGAGUCGAGCUUGUUGUGUUAUCGAACAGCUCGUUAAAAUACAACAAUUACACAUAACAUUAGCCCAGCCCAACAAUCAAAAAACCUAAACAUAUACUAUACUCAGGGGUUCAUUCGUUCCCUAAUCUCUCAAUCCGUAGUUCUUAUAUCCCCAAAACCAAUCUCAGAUUCAAAAACCAGGUGGUGGUUCACGUCACUACAAGCAAGCCAAAUAACCUCACUCGGGCAUUCUUGUACAAGAGGUUUACCCAGAAUCCAAACUACUAUGAUCUGCAGGGUGUUAAUGGAAUGCAUCUGGAAGCAUUUGACUAACACACUUAGCGAUCUGGAAGCAUGGAAGCAAGUAAGUGCGUUGAUAUAGAGGAUGAUUGUAUCUUUCUUCUCUAAAUCUUGAGAUGAUAUCCUAAACGGCUAAGUCCAGAAGUUAGAAAGGUAUAGUAUUAUAAAAAUAUUCUGGGUACAAUUCAUAAUUUAUCGAGCUUUUAACGAGCGAGUUCGAGCCGAACGAGAUCGAGCCGAACACGAGCCGAGCUCGAGCCGAACAUACUGAAACUCGGCUCGAGCUCGUUUUGCUUAACGAACAGAUUUUCGAGUUCGAGCUCGAGCUCGAUUUUAUAAACGAACCGAGCCGAACGAGUUCUUAACGAGCCGAACACGAGCUUGUUCGCGAACAGCUCGGUUCGCGAACAGGCCUGCAUGAUAUGUUAUGUUAACCUGCAAAGCAAAGACAUGUGAUAUAUUAUAAUAUUGGACACCACUAGCCCAAGGGACCUAUAGCAUAUUCCUCGAUUAAAUAAUUGGAUUACAGCUCUACAAUCACAAACCGUUAAAAAGAGCGGGACCCCUAGGUAUUACAUUUAACCAUAUAAUCUCAAAUUUUCUAACAACUCAAUAUGCGGGAAUAGAAUACAAUAGUAAUAAAUUUAUUUCAGUAUCUAAAAUCAGAUGACAGUAAUUCUAGUUAUAACUGUUGCUUAGGGCUUCGGUCUGACCUUAAACUAAUCACAGUUGGUCUUACAUUCAAGCACUGGCCCCGACACAGUAUCAUGAACAACACUAGCUAGUAAAGGCCCUAACAACAGCAACAGCAAUAGCAUUGGUAUAUGCAUGGCAAGGCAUUUUUGAUUCGUGGAGAUGAUCAGGACACGCUUAUAUAUGCUUUACGGAUGGAGAAUUAUGGAAUAUGGAUGCGCAAUCAAAUUUGCCAAAAAGAAGAAGAUACCACUAACGUGCAUGCAUCUUGUAUAGAUAUAAAUACUCAUACACGGAUUAUUGAACACCAUGCAUACAUAUUCAAGUGUCCAACUUACAAAAAUUUAAAAUUGAUGGCUCAUGCACACUGCCCUAGUUUUCGGACCCACAUACGCGACAAGACAUAAUACAUUACUCCCUCCGUCCCGCUCAAUUCUAUACAAUUUUUUUUGGAUGUCCUAUCAUUUCCAUACAUUCCCAAGAUAACAACUUUUUAUAAUAUAAAUCAAUAAAACACUACUACAACCACAGUUUUAUCUCCACUAAUAAAAACACUAUUACACCCGGUAUUUUCCUCUACUGUCUAAAAUCUAUUAUUACAAAAUAUAUGAUCCUACCACUUUACCCGUUUUCUAUCUAACUUUCUUUACUUACUUCUUACCUUUUUUGUCUCCGUAUCCAAUCUCAUGUAUAUAAUUUAUUGGGACGUAAGGAGUAUUAAGUAAACAUUCAUGUAUAUAAGUAGAUAUCUUAACAAAAAUAACUAUUUAUGAUCAAACACGAAAGUGUAAGGAAUAUUACAAGAUGGGCAUCUUCUAUGUAUUAUUCUUUUUCCUCUCAUGGACAGACAUGACCACCAACCACGAUUAUCUAACUAAAAGAGUUCUACCAUUAUCUACCUAAAAGAGUUCGAGUAAGUAUCUAUCAGUAGAGCCGGCCAUUCGGGCGGUUUGGCUCGGCCCGAACCGAACCGAACCGUAAUUUAGCCCGCAUUUGCACGUUCCGGUUCGAAACCGGCACAAACCGGCACGAACCGUGGUUGACGACGAGCCGGUUACGGGUCCAAGAUCUUCGAUUCGCAAACCGUACAAACCGGCACGCCAAAACCGUUCCAACCCGCGUCAAACCACAACCCGCGUGAGCCCGCGGUUCACCGCAACCCGCGUGAACCGAAGCCCGCGCCAGCCCGUCUUGAGAGGGUAUUAUGUAUCAUUUUAAAAGUUCUUUGGCUGUGAUGCAGUGAUCAUAACUCAUUGCUUUGAUAUUUGUAGUUGUGGAUAGUAUUUUAUGCAUUAAUUUCUGCUUAACUUUUUAAUUUCUUAAUUAUUCUUCUUGUGUUAUUAAGAAAUUAUUUUCAAAAAAAAAGAAUAUUAUUGUAACAAAGUUAUUUCAUAGUAGAAAUAUAACAAAAAUAAUAUAUUUCUAUUUAUUUUUACAAUAACUAGAACUUUGCCAUUCUUGAAAUAUAAUAAAAAUAAUAUAUAUCUAUUUUUUUUAGAGAGGAGUCCUCUCACAUUAUUUGUAAAAUCUUUUUUUAAUAUAUAAAAUCUAUAAGAGGUGCCGCCCUCUUUUUACCAUUUUAUUAUUUAUUAGUUUAUAAUAAUUUAUUAUUAGUUAAAUUAAGAAAUUAAAUUCUAAAAUUAAAUUCCAUUGUAAAGUCCAGAUCAGUUGCACAUUAAUAUUAAAAACAAAAAACACAAUGAUUUGGUCACCUACUGUGACUCUACUAAGUAGGAAAUACUAACUAAAUCUAAGUGUAUUGGCCUGUCUGCUAAACCGCGGAACCGCCUGAACCGUGAACCGCACGAACCGUCUAACCCGCCAAACUCGUAGAAUCCGUAUAACACGGUUCCGGUUUCUAAUUUCUUCAGCCCGGCCCGGCACGGACCGGACCGCCAACUUAGACGGGCCGGUUACGGUUCCACCUGUGACGGUUCGGAAACCGUCUGAACCGGCCCGAACCGCCCCGGCCCGCCCGAAUGGCCACCUCUAUAUCAGGCCUACAAAUUAAGCCGAAGAAAGCGUCUUAUUAUCUGUGCAUGCAUCUGUAGAUUUGCAUGUGCAUUUUACGUAAAGGAUCUUUUUUAUAAAAUCUAAUUAUAUUCGUAUGAGAUAUUAAAAAAUAUAUUAGAUUCUUGAAUUUUUUUUAUUCAAAAUUUAAAUUAUUUUUAUCUGAAAAUCUAGUAUAUAAUUAUUGUUUUAAAUUAUAUAUAAAAAUUUAAUGAUAUUGAAUUAAGAUUAUCAAAAAAUAAUUAAAAUCUCAUGUACAUUCGAAGUAGAAUUUUUUGGACAUUACAAAAUGAUAAAUUUUGUGUGAUUAUCAGUAUAUUUUAUAUUUUCAUAAUUCACAAAAAUAUAAAAAAUUAUAUUUAAAUAUUAAAUCUCUUCUGCAUAAAAUAAAAAUUAUGAAAUAUAAUCUAUUAAAUUUAUAAAUUAUUAAUAAUUCAUUAACGUCCCAAUCAUAUAUAAAUAACACCUUAAUUAAAUCAAGCAAAGUACAAUAUUUGGUAUAUAUGGGAGUACAGUUUAAAAAUGCAUACAUAUGAUGAUAAGCCAUCUCACACUCAUACUUUCAUGGACAUGAAACAAACACACACAAACAAGCCAACAAGAAGAUGAAUAAUACAAGCAACAAACACACUUAAAUUCGACAUUUUUGGCCAUAAUGUAUAUAAGUGAUGAUGAUGAUAUAUCAAAGUUUUAAUCCUGAACCACGGAACUUUUCCUGGGUAAUCUGAUCCAACUUAGCGGCCAUCUCUGGAGUUAAACACUUAUUUCCUUCUCCAACUUGACCAUUCCGAAAAAAGGAAGAAUUGCUUACUUUAGACGAGAAAUGUCCAGUGCUAUUAACCUGCAGUUUGCUCAUGCUGCCAAAACUACACAAACUCGUGAUCUGAUCAAUCAUUUCCGAGUUCUCUUCCUCUGGUGAGAAAGGUCUCCCCAGAAACCGCGCCAGACGGGUGAUUUGAGCAUGAGGCUCAGACUUCAAGUCUUCAUACCUCAUAAACAGCACCUUGUUUGGUCUUUCCAGGCUUUCCUUCCAAUAUCCCAAGAUUUGAUCCCAUAUAGGACCACCCACGUUUGUGCCUUUGCAGAACAAAUGAAAUGCCUCCUCCAAAGAAAUGGGAGAAGAUCGAACACCAAUAUUGUUGGCGAAGUGGAAGAGUGAAACAAAAGUGUCCUUGAUGUUCCUGCACAAAUACACAAUCUUGAUGUUAGUCGAUCCAUCCUCCUCCUCCUCUGUUAUUGACUUGGGGAGGCAAACUAUUGGAAAAUGGCAGCCAAAGAUCCUACUAGUGCUGUCUAAGAAUAAGGACUCAUAUUCGGACGGCUUGGUUAAUGCGAUAAAAGGGACAAGCUGGUGAGGAGUUUUUUUGUCGCAGGGGGUGAUGAGCAUCUUGAGGAUGAUGUUUCUGGCGGUUAAGUAAAGCAUAGAGAAUGGCUUUCAUCCAGGUGGUUCCUGAUUUGGGUGGAGUCACGAGGAAGACAUCGUUUUGUCGAGGUCGAAAAUGUUGUUGACAAUUGAUCAAGCCUUGCAAACUUAUAGGACUAAACCAGAAUCCUUGGUAUUGAUAAGUGUAGUCUGGAAUUACGCCUUUGGCUUUUGGCAGGGAUGAAAGCCAUUCUUCGCUACAAACCAGUGUCUCAUCAUGCUCUGUUGUUUUUGCUUCCAUGAUAUGUUGUGUAACAUUGAAAGCAAAAACAUGUGAUAUAUAAUGCAUUCAGCAUUAAUGCCUUGCUCAGUCGUUGGUGGUGUUGGUUUCCCUGCAGGUAAACGUUAUAUCACAUAUUAAUGCUCGCAUUCGAGUUGGUUGGAAAAAUUGAUAAAUAUAACAAACAUUUUCAAUACUAUCUGAUUUGGGUGGCCUUGGUUUCCUUAAUAUUAAUGCUUGCACCAGAAUUGGUUGGAAAAAUUUGAUAAACAAAGACGUGAUGUGAUAUAAUGCAUUCACUAUUGAUGUCUUGUUGAGCAGUUGGUUUGCUGCUUUAUAAUUACUGGCCUUUAACCUGUGCGAAGCACGGGCGAAUAUAUAGUUCAUAAUUUAUUAUUUAUAAUUUAAAUUUUAACAUCAUUUUAUUAGUAUUUUAAUAUUAAUAGAUUGAAUUUAAUUAAAUUAUAUUAUUCGACUGACUAUAUUUUCUCCCAAUUACUUGAAAAUGGACAAACCCUAACAAAUAUAUAUAUAUAAUACAUUUUAAUCCGAAUUUAGUACAUGUAGAUUUAAAAAUUAAAAAAAAUCAGAAAAUUCAAAUCUUUUCCAAACAUAAACGAUCUUGUAAUACAUUUGAAAGAUUCAGUAAUUUAAUCAAUCGAAUUUCAACAUAAUUCUGUAAUCUUGAUUUUUUUAAAGAUUAGAGUUAGAAAAGGUUAUGUAAUGUUUGGUGUUUAUAUUGAUAUAGAACACGUUAAAGUUAAAAAGAGUUAUAUAAAACUUCUUGUUAAAAGAAGAUAUUCAAAAUUAUUAUUUAUAAUUUUAUUUAUAACAUCAUUAUAAUUUUUUAAUGAAAUAUUAUAUGAUAAGGUAUUGUUAGGAGUGUUUUUAGUAUUUGAAACUGUUUAAUAAUGUAAGAUUAAUAGACUCCACAUUUGUAGACUUGUAGUACCAAAAGGAGAGUACCAAACCAAAAAAUAUAAUUAAAACUUAGGAUUACAAAUUAUACCCAUGGCUUAUUAUAGUAUAGUAUAGAUGGGUUUUCUUUGCGUUCGUAGGCUAAAAGAUUGCUUAACUCAUGGCCAACUUGCACUUUGUUAACUAAAAAGCUUACAAACAAAGUUGAGAACUAGAUUUAUCUUGCUAUUUAGUCAUUACUCAUUAACAUUAAAAAAUAAAGUUUCCACCGCCUUUAACUCUUGUUUAGUUUUUAACCGGAAAAUAUUAGUAAUCGAGUCUUUCAGUUAUUUCAAUGCAAAUUUUUAUUAGUUCUUUACCCCAAAGGCAAGUUAGCCUAUUGACCUGUUUCAUUUAAUAAAAAUGCCUUAUUCAGUUCGGUCCCAAUCUGUUUGAAAAAAAUUAAUUAUCAUCUUUUUACAAAACCAAAUAUGACAAUUAAAAUAGGACGGACGGAAUACUGGAAGAUGGACAAUCUGUAAUCAAAAACACGCUGUUGAACCUCGAGGCUUUGACUGUGUUUAGCUUUGAUCGUUGAAUACGUAUUUCAUUCAACGCACAGUGUUUGAAAAAAACUGAUGGGGAGUCCCUAUAAAAGAGUAAACUUAAAAACACAAGUAGAUAACAUAGAAUAACACAAGCAAAAACAUUAUUCCUACUAGAGAUUAGAAGAAGAAAUAUGGAGAGCAGUUCAUCGACGGCAUCAGUAGCACUAGGAGUGUAUUGGUAUAACUGGGUCAAUGAUCAAGUCAUCUCUCAUUUUUACGGCUUCACUAGCCUCUUGGGUUUCCAAACAGCCACCAGCAGCAACAACAUUGAGGUGGUUUCCAGAGCCCGUAAGCCUCCGCAAAAACCCAUAAGCAAAGGGAGUGGUCCUAAAACCAACCAAGCUUCUGCAUAACACACUAGCUAUGGCUAAGGCAAUAUGUCACAACUGUAAACUAAAGCUGAAUGUGAAAGAAAGAAAAUCUCCAUUAAAGCUCUAUAAAAGUGUUUGUACAUAGCUCUCUACUUUGUUUCUAUUCUACUUGAAUGAAAAAUAAUGUGCUAUUCUCUAAUAUAUACAAAACAGACUAACUCUGUAACUACUUUCUGAAACUAACUACCACUACUUUGCUGAGCUGUCAUUUCGGGACCACAGCUGUCACUCUGCUUUUCCCGCCUCUUCUCUUGACUCUGAUCACUACUAGUAUACUGAACAUCCCCCCUCAAGUUAGGUGUAUGAAACAAGUUGAACACACCUAACUUCGAGAGUAAAUAGCGCAGUUGGUAUGAGGGUAAAGCCUUAGUGAAUAAGUGUGCAGGUUGCUCUGUUGAUGGAAGAUGAUGUGUAACCACAAUUCCCUGCUUAACCUUCUGGCGAACAAGGUGACAAUCUAUUUCAAUGUGUUUCGUAAGCUCGUGAAACACAGAAUUAGAGGCAAUGUGAAGGGCAAACUGAUUGCCGCAGUACAGAGAGACAGGAGUAAGAUUAGGUACAUAUAACUCUUUGCAUAAGGACAACAGCCAUGUAACUUCACAGCAUGAAUCUGCCAUUGCUCUGUACUCAGCCUCUGCUGAGGAGCGAGAAACUGUAUGCUGGCGUUUGCAUUUCCAGGAGACUAGUGAAGACCCCAAAGUGACACAAAAGCCAGUAAUAGACUGUCGAGUCUGUUUACAGCUACCCCAAUCAGCAUCAGUAAAAAUUCGUAGAUUGAAGGAGGAUUUGGAUGAUAACAGUAUACCUUGUCCACAUGUAUGCAUGCUUAAGGUAUUUAACCAACUUUAGAGCAGCCAACCAGUGAAUUUCUUGUGGCUUAUGCAUGAACUGGGCCAAUAUGUGUACAGAAUAGGAUAAGUCUGGACGAGUAAUAGUCAGAUAAAUCAAACGCCCAAUCAAUCUCCUAUAAGCUGAGAUAUCGGCAAGCAGGGAAGAGUUGGAUUCUGCUGUGAGAUUGUGAUUCUGGUCUAAAGGUACUAAGGAUGUCUUGGCAUCCUCACAUCCAACAUCCUUGAUAAUAUCCAUAGUAUACUUACGUUGAUUCAGAUAAAUUCCAGCAGCUGAGCGAGCAAUUUCAAUCCCCAGAAAGUAUUUCAAGGGGCCCAAAUCCUUAGUUUUGAAUUUGGUAGCAAGAAACUGAGUGACCUGAGUCAUUAAUUCAGGAGCAUUGCCUGUUAACACCAUGUCGUCCACAUAAACCAGUAAAACCACAAGCUUAUUGCCUUUCUUAAAGACAAAUAAACUUGAGUCACUGCAGGUUUGUGUGAAGCCAAAUUCAAGCAAAGCCUCAGAAAGGAUAGUAAACCACUCUCGAGGAGCUUGACGCAGUCCAUAGAUUGAUUUAAUGAGUUUGCACACUAACUUCUGGUUAGGAAAUUGUCGUAAGAUUUCUGGAGGGAUAGGAUAACCUUGAGGUAUUUCCAUAAACACUUCUUCAUGCAGAAAACCGUGUAAAAAUGCGUUGGUAACAUCAAGCUGUGUGAUGGACCAAUGGUUCAUAGCUGCAAGUGCAAGAACAACACGAAAAGUUGCCAUUUUGGCCAUUGGUGCGAACGUAUCAAAGUAGUCUAGACCCUCUGUUUGAGUAAAACCCUUGGCCACAAGGCGCGCCUUAUAUCUGUCUAUUUGGCCAUCAGGUAAAUACUUUACUUUAUAUAGCCAUCGACAUCCAACUGCCUUUUUGUUAGGUGGGAGAGGUACAAUUUGCCAGGUCUGAUUAGCUUCCAUAGCAGCUAACUCAGUAUUCAUUGCAGUGCACCACUCGCUUGAUUUACUUGCUUGAUUGGAUGUCUGUGGCUCUUGAAUUUUGGAAAUAUUAGCCAAAAAAUGUUCAUAAGAACUGUCAAAUGCAGAAUAUGAGACACAAUUUGUCAAGUUUUGAGUCACAGUACUCUGCAGUUGUGGAGGCAAGUUGGUGUAGUCUUUAAACUUGGCAGGAGCUUGCCUUUGUCUUUGUGGUCUUACUACAUGAGUAGUAGCUUCACUGAUAGGUACUGUAGGUGAAGAAUUAUCUUCAUUGAUAGACACUGUAGGAGAAGAAUUAUUAGAUCCUGUAGGCAUGCUCUGAUCAAUACUAUUAUCAGUACUAGUACUGUUGGGAACUGGAUAACUUGUGAUGGGAUCUGACUCCCAUUCAACAGUAGAGUUGUUCACAAAUAAUGGAGUGCUUUUCAAGGCAACGUCAAAAGUAUUCUGUUGGAAUGGAAAUUGUCGUUCAUCAAAGUACAGAUCUCUGGACACAAAGACUUGUCUAGUCUGCAUGUUUAAGACUUUAUACCCUUUUUAGCAUAGGGAUACCUCAAGAAUACUCCUUUAAUACCUCUAGCUGCAAAUUUGUCACUUGGUUGAGGAACUGUAGUUGCAUAACACAGGCAGCCAAAUAUUCGAAGUCGAGAAUAAUCUGGCUUAGAGUUAAACAGCACCUCAUAUGGUGACUUGCCUUGAAGCACAUGGGUAGGUGUUCGAUUAAUAAGAUAGCAAGCAGUUAACACACAGUCUCCCCACAGAGUAAGAGGAACAUUGGACUGAAAUCGUAAGGCUCGUGCAACAUUCAUAAGAUGUCUGUGUCUUCUCUCCACAAUUCCAUUCUGUUGUGGAGAGUAAGCACAAGUGGUUUGAUGGACAAUACCAUUUUGUGCAAACAAUUUAGACACAGUUUGAUUUACAAACUCAGUACCAUUGUCUGAGCGCACAACUUUAACAGAGGUUUUGAACUGAUUUAUAACAUAAUUGAGAAAAUCAGAUAUAAUACGACUAACACUAAUUUUAUCUGGUAGCAGAAAAACCCAUGCAGCACGAGACAUGUCAUCAACAUUAAUGGUUAAAAAAUAAGAACAACUGCCAUGAGUUUUAAUUCGAUAUGGUCCCCAUAAGUCCAUAUGGACAAGAUCAAACACAUUUGAACUACAAGACUCACUAUUAGCAAAAGGAUGUCUAACUUGUUUUGACAGAUGACAAGUAUCACAAGUAUGAUUGACAGAAGUUUUACACUGAAAAGGAAACAAUUUUAAGACAGACAUAGGCACAUGGCCAGUUCUGGCAUGCCAGAGAUUAGUAUCUGCAGUGUGGGAGGCAACAGCUGAACAAGAGUAUGUAGAUGAUAGUUUGCAAGCAUUUAGAAUGUAGAGACCAUACACAACUUUACCAAUCUCUAGGUCCCUCAUCAAGAUAGGGGCCUGAAGAAAGCAACAAUCAUUCUUAAAAACAAUAGAAGACACCGAAUCAGUCACAAACUUGGAGACUGAAAACAAGUUAUAAUGAAACUGAGGAACACACAGCACAUUGUGAAGAAUAAUAUGAGAACUAAGAGUGAUAGAUCCCAUAUGAGUAACAGGUGCAGUGUGACCAUUAGGAUGAUAUAAUAGAGACUGACAAGACACAACAUUGGAAGUAGAUGUAGGUGAGGUGUUACAUGAUCAGUAGCACAUGUGUCGAUAAUCCAUUCAAAAUUCUUGUAAGAAUUAUUGUGUACAGGACUAGCAAAAUGCAGAAAUGUACCUGCAAACUGAGUACUAUUAACUGUAGCAUAUGGAUUCAUAUCAGCAGCUGGUUGAAUUGUGGUAUGAUUCAGCAGUUGUAGAAGUUGCUUGUACUGACUCUCAGAAAACUGAAAGUUGUUGUAUCAGUCUGAGAGGUAGAAGGAUUAGUCUGAGAAUUAUCAGGAGAGCUCUGUGAGACUUGAGCAGCCACAACAUUUCUUGAGGAGAUAUGUUUAGGCUUGGGCUUGGGUUUGCCAUACAUUUUGUGCCACUCAGGGUAACCAUGCAGACAAAAGCAUUUGUCCUUGACAUGUCCUUGCAUAUGACAAUAGUCACAGUAGAUUGGAACAUCAGAUUGAGUCUUCUUGAUUUCUUUCGAAAAUGUAGCCUUGAAUUUCACUGCUAAGGCCACACUAUCAGCAGUAGGAUGCGAAUUACUAGCAAUCCCUCUCUGAUUCUCCUCUUGCAACAGUAUGGAAUAGCAUUUGCUAAGGGAGGGUAAAGGAUUCAUUGCUUAAUCCCGACACCAAAUGUCCUGUGUUAUUAACCUGCAGUUUGCUCAUGUUACCAAAACUACACAAACUCGUGAUCUGAUCAACCAUUUCCAUAUUCUCCUCCUCUGGUGAAAAGGGUCUCCCCAGAAACUGCGCCAGACGCCUGAGUUGAGCAUGAGGCUCAGACUUCAACUCUUCAUACCUCAUAAACAGCACCUUGUUUAUUGUCGAAUGGAGUGGUUACUUGUGAAUAGGUUUCAAGUAGUUAUUAAUUAGUAUAAUAUCUUUAACUAUCAGUAAUUACAAGUUAUUUCCGGUCUUGCAAUGUUGCCAUGUUACCCUUAUUAUAUUCCUCGAUAGUGAAAAAACUAUUCUGUCUUAAAUAGUAAAACGACAUAUAGAAUUUGAAUGUUGGGAACUUGGUGUUUGGUUCUGGAAAAACUAUUGUGGCGUAUAUUGUGAUCCCACAAGGAUAAGAACAAAUAAUGUAUUGUAUUUUUAUAUUAUUCUUAUAGUACUCUUGCCAUAUCCUAAAUUUGUGUUCCAGACUAGUUAUAUUCUCUUCAUAUUCCAGUAAUGAUUAGCUUUGUGUAAAGAUUAUAAUUUCUUAGCAGCUUGCAAAGAUGGGUUCUAAGAAAGGGUCCUAGAUAUAUUAAAGAGAAUUUGGAGAUAAUUGUCUGUUAAAAAUGAUAAGAUCUGUAUUUUGGUUAAAACUAGCACCCUUGUGUUACUUGUUACCAAUCAUUAAUAUUGAUUUCAAUUAAUUACAUAUGUAUGAAGAUCCAAGUAAGUAUAGAAUGGAUUGAAUAUUUGUAAAUUCUUUGUUUAAUUGAUUAAUUCAUUCUGAUUUGAUUGUCAAGUACAACCUUUGUAAUUUAUUAUUUGUGUACAGUUGCUCUGACUUGGUUCAUAAAUAAAAAGUGGUAAAGCUUAAUGUUUGAUGUGUAAAUUAGCAUGUAUAGAGUGUUGUUGUGCUGAGUGUUUGUAUAAUUUUAGCCUUUUGCUUGUGUAUAAAUAUUUGUUAUGAUGUUAUUUAAUGAAAUUAUGAUAUUGCGGAUUGAUUAAUUAUGGUAUUGAGGAGUGAUUGGUGAAUUGGAUAAAAAAAAUUAUGGGUGGGAUUAUGAAAGGAACAAAAAAGUCAUGCCAAUUUUUUUUUUAAUUUUUUUUAAUAAUAUUAUGCAAGUAACUGAAUUCAGUCAUAUUUAGCUCAUUUUAUUUGACCAAAAUCAGUCGAAAUUAUAAAUGUGACCAUUGAACAGUAGUCAAAUUUAUAAAUAUGACCGCUGAAUAUCAGUCAAAUUUAUAUAUAUGACUGUUGAUAAAAUAGUCAAAUUUAUAAAUAUGACUGAUUAGUUAGUCAAAUUUAAGUACAAAAGUGGGAAAUUUGAAUUUGACGAAAAAAUUGGAGGUGAAAAAUCAGAGUUAAAAAUGAUCGAUUGAAGUCAAAUUAGGCGGUCAAAUUUAAGAAGUCAUAUUUAACCGGUCAUAUUUAAACAGUCACAUUUGAUUAAAUAUGACCGAGAAUGUUAGAUUCCACUAAGUUAUUUAAGACCAACAAAUUCUGGUCAAAUUUAGCAGGGAUAAAAGCCAUUCUUAGCUAGCAGGGAUAAAAGCCAUUCUUAGCUAUAAACCAGUACUGUCUCAUGAGCAUCAAACUCUGUUGUUUUGGCUUCCAUGUUGUUUUGGCUUCCAUGAUAUAUAUGUUGUGCAAGUGUAACAUGCGGAAGAAACGCAUGAGAUAUAUAAGACCAUCUCCAACCCAUAACACCAUUUUGGUGUGAAAAAUACACCAAUUUGGUGUGAAAACUACACCAAAUCAAAAUUUCACUCCAACCCAUCAACACCAUAUCCUACACCAAAAAGAAUCUUUUACACAUUAAAUGGAAUAUUCUCUCUUUUUAAGUUAUUUAUAUCAUUAUUGAAUUUGUACUUAAAUUUUAACAUGUUCAAUAAACAAGGACCUAAAAUAAUUAUAAAUUCAUUAAUAAAUUCAAGAGGACAACUUAAUUAUAUGAAUUCCCAUGCUCUUCCCAUAUGUGCUCGAUCAAGGCGUUGCGAAGUUCAAAUUGAGCUUCCUUAUCUUUAAUUUGUCGAUAUCUAGUAAGAAAAUCUUGAAAUUCGUCAUCUCCAUUUCUUUCCAUUUCUUUCCAUUUCGACAGCAGCAGAAGAUGUUUCCACGUAAUCAUGUACAUGCAAAUUUAAGUCUCGUUCAUCCUCAACUAUCAAGUUGUGCAUGAUAAUACAUAUGUGAGGGUAUACAUAUGUGAGGUAAUUUUAAUCAUUGUUUAUUUUAUUUUUAAUCAAAUCUAUUUAAAAAACAUAUCUUCUAUAUAAGAAUAUAAAUUUAUUGAUAUUUGGAAAUAAAUAAAAAACUUGAGUAAAAUAGUAAAGAAAGAAAAUUUAAAACAAUUAUGAUUAAAGAAUAAAUAAUAUAACAUAAAACAACUUUAAUGGGACAUAGAUGGAAUAAUUUUGUUUUCAUUAACAUAUGUGAGGGUAUAGUAGGUAUUUUAGAAAACUCCAAAUUUGGUGUAAAAGUUACACCAAAUCAAUACUUGACACCAAAUUUGGUGUCAACCAAUUCAUUUGGUGUCAACUUUACACCAAUUUGAUGUUGGGUUGGAGUGAAUUUGACACCAAAUUUGACACCAAAAUGGUGUUUUGGUGUUGGGUUGGAGUUGCCCUAAUGCAUGCAGCAUUAAGGCCUUGUUUGUUUGGUGGUUGGCGUUGGUUACCCUGCAUGAAAAACUUAUACUAUUAUUUUUAAUGCUUUCACCCCGGUGGUUGAAAAAAUUGAUGAAUAUAACAAACAUUAGGAAUACUGAAUAUAGCCCAGCAUGGCUCGAUGUGACCCAAUUAAAUAAUUGAUAGUGCCUCGUAUCUACCUACUCCCUCCGUCCCAAUGAAUUGUAUACAGUUUCCUUUUUGGGACGUCCCACCAAUUAUAUACAUACCAAAAGUAGUAACUUUUAUAAUAUAAAAUAACAUUACACCAACUACUUUCCUCCACUAUCUCCAUUCUAUAAUAAUAUAAACACUAUUACACCCACUACUUUCCUCCACUAUCUCCAUUCUAUAAUAAUAUAAACACUAUUACACCCACUACUUUCCUCCACUAUCUCAAAUCUAUUAUUAAAUAUAAAUGGAUCCCACCACUAUACUCACUUUUCUUCUAACUUUACUCAUUUUUUACACUUUUUCUUGGUCUCCGUGUCCCAGCCAUUUGUAUACAAAUGACCGGGACGGAGGGAGUAUUGGUUGCAACUUGCAAGUUUGUUUUUUAGGAAAAUGAAAUUUCUUUGGAUAUAUGUAUAUCUAGUAGCUUUCGUUUCUUUUUGGUUAUUUUCUCACUUGUUAUCCGUAUCCAAUUGAUUAAUGAAUAUUAAUAUUUUUAUCAUAGAGAUUUUUAUUAUCGUCAAUUUUAAUCGAAAAUUUGUUUAUAUUUAUUAAUAUAGGAUAUUUUCAAAGUCCCAUAUUUUAGGGGUUGCUAAUUUUAUUAGAUAAAAGUUAUGAUUACAAUUCAUAGAAUUAUAUAAUACGUUUUCUUCUAUGACUUAAAUUUAAAUAAGACAAUUAUUUUGUCACUUCAAUAAUAUUUGUGUCGCAUGGAUAAAUAAAUAUUAAUUACUGUAAUUCGAAUAUCAUCAAUUUAAAUAAUUUUAUAUUUAUUAGUAUAGGAUAUACUGUAUAUAUAGUUCACUCAUGUGGUGAGUUGAGCAAUAGUCCACAACCUAAUAUUUUAGGUGUCCUAAAUUCAGGGUUGAUAAUUUUAUUUGCAAAAAGUAUAAGAAUUGUCACCACAUUUGAUAAGAAUAUAACACGAACAGCCAUUCAAAUCUAAUUAAGAGUCAGAUUAAUAUAAUGAUCUGUUUAAGAAUUAGGAGUUUAUUUGAAAUUUUGAAUUUGUGCAAACUACGUGUUUGAAAAUAUGAAUUUAAAUUUCAUUUGAAAUUCGAAUAUUUAAGUAUUAAUAUAAAUCUGAAAAUUUAAAAUAAUAACUGUUAUUUAAAAUUUAUCUAAAAGCAUCUCCAACGGCGUUAUUAAUUUAGAAUUUUAAAUUACCGUGAUUCGAAAAUGUGGGAUAUCCAAUCACAAUUUUAAAAAAUAUUAAAACUUUGGUGAUAUUUAAUUAGUAUUAUAUAAUAUUUAUUAAAAUUUGAGGGACUUGCUGAAAGGAUGAAUAUUAUAAGAUUAUUUGGUGUAUUUUAUAUUUUCAAAAAUUGUGAAGGAAUGUGCUUAAAUAUUAAAAUUCCUUGUACAUAAUUAAAUCUAAAUCAAAUAUAAUAUACUAAAAUUCAUAAAGUUUUAUUAAUUUAUUAAAAUCGUACACCACGUUGAAACACAAUCGCAAAGCAAAAUGCAUAUUAUAAAUGAUGAUUAGGAUUACUCAUCUCAGACUCAUACUUUUUCAAGGACAAACGAUCACAAACAAGCCAACAAGAACAUAAAUGGUAGAAGCAACGGACACACUUAUUUAAAUUGGAUAUGUCGAGAUGAUUAUAUAUUAAAGAAUCAAUCCUGAACCGCUGAACUUUUCCUGGGUAAUCUGAUCCAACUUAGCAGCCAUCUCUGCAGUGAGACACUUGUUUCCCCCUCCAACUUGACCAUUCCGAAAAAAUGAACCAUUGCUUAAUCCAGGCACCAAAUGUCUUGUGUUAUUAACCUGCAGUUUUGCUCAUGUUACCAAAACUACACAAACUCGUGAUCUGAUCAACCAUUUCCAUAUUCUCCUCCUCUGGUGAGAAGGGUCUCCCCAGAAACUGCGCCAGACGCGUGACUUGUGCAUGAGGCUCAGACUUCAACUCUUCAUACCUCAUAAACAGCACCUUGUUUGGUCUUUCCAGGCUCUCCUUCCAAUAUCCCAAGAUUUGAUCCCAGAUAGGACCACCCGUACUUGUGCCUUUGCAGAAUAAAUGAAAUGCCUCUUCCAGAGAAACAGGAGAAGAUCGAAGAUUGGCCUUGUUGGAGAAGUGAAAGAGUGAAACAAAACUGUCCUUGAUGUCCCUGCACAAAUACACAAUCUUGAUAUUAGUUGAUCCACCAUCCUCCUCUGUAAUGGACGUUGGGCCACAAGCCCACGAACUAGAAGCCCACUACCGCCAAGCCCAAGAGGGAGUCCAAGGCCAAAAGCCCAGCAAGCAAACACAGGAGGAGCGUGACUUAAAACUUAUAAAUACAGAGGAGAUAAGGCGGAGAAAGGGGUUGGAAAAGAGAGUAAAAGAGCCACCUCCUUGUAAUAUUGAUCUGGCUGAGAACUAUGUAUAUUCCGGCUUAUAUCUCAAUAUUUGGCGCUAGAAGGAGGGCUCUAAUCAUCCAACCAUCAACAAGACAUAUAUAUAUACAAUUUCCUAUAUCUAUAAUCACUAAAACAGACGCACACACUUUUCAUCUCUCAACGGAAAAGCAAAUCGGAGUAGUGGAUCGGGCGCCUGUAACGCAGCCUACAACAAUAUCUUCAGAAAAAAUGGAGGAAGAUGAAGCUCUGAGAUCUGAAAACAUAUCAGCGCCAAAAAACACAUCAGAUCUGCAAUAUAUGUCGCCGGAGGUGAGUCGACAACGAGAACUUGAUCCUCGGAGGUUGUUUGAUGAUGAACACCAUCAAACAUGCUCAGAUUCGGUGUUUGACGCCGCCGUCAAGCUCCGAAAUUGACGAUCUAUUACAUCCGGAAAAGAAGGAGAAAAAACAAGUCAAGAUUCGAUUCUGAGAAUGAUACUGUUAGCAUUAAUGAAAUCUCCAGGUGUGAGUUAAGGCAUAAGAAAUCUUCGACGAGGAGCCACAAUCGAGUUUGAGCAGAAAACUGAUGUUCUCAGAUCUGAUUGAAAAAGGAGGCGCUGAACCAUUGAACCGAUAUAGUGUUGAAAUUUUCAGAAAAUUACCUAGCACAACUCUCAAGUGGUCCAACGAUUUGCAUCCAUAUUCUAUCGCCUCUCGUAGUUCAUCGACUCUCCAGCUCAACGGGUCACCAACUCAAAAUUCACAGGAAAAUAUCAUGUAUCUUACUCGAAAAAGGAAGCGCUAAGCCGUGGAGCCAGUGAAGUGAUGAAGUCCCUUAAAAAAAGUGCAAAAUACAACCUCCAAGAGGUUCAACAAUCUGACUCCAUACUCCAUCAGCUCUUGGAGCAUACAAAAAUUAAAUCUCAAUGGGAUCCAAAGGAAACAAACAUAUAUCCCGAUGCGAAUUCAAAAAUCAUGAAUCUAGAUUUGCUUCUUUGAUCCGUCAGCUCUCGGAGCAUCCUUGAAAAUAAAAGGCAUAGCCUCAAAAUGGCUCCACAUUUCGCCUCUUCGCUCCAUCAGCUCACGGAGCAUCCUUGAAACUAAAAGGCAUAGCCUCAAAAAGGCUCCACAAAUCGCCUCUUCGCUUCAUCAGCUCUCAGAGCAUCCUUGAAAAUAAAAAGCAUAGCCUCAAAAAGGCUCCACAAAUCGCCUCUCCGUUUCAUCAGCUCUCAGAGCAUCCUUAAUAAUAAAAGGCAUAGCCUCAAAAUGACUCCACAUUUCGCCUCUUCGCUCCAUCAGCUCACAGAGCAUCCUUGAAACUAAAAGGCAUAGCCUCAAAAAGGCUCCACAAAUCGCCUCUUCGCUCCAUCAGCUCUCAGGGCAUCUUUGAAAAUAAAAAGGCAUAGCCUCAAAAUGACUCCAUAUUUCGCCUCUUCGCUCCAUCAGCUCUCGGAGCAUCCUUAAAAGUAAAAGGCAUAGCCUCAAUGACUCCACAAAUCGCCUCUUCGCUCCAUUAGCUCUCGGAGCACCCUUGAAAAUAAAAGGCAUAGCCUCAAAAUGGCUCCAUAAUUCGGUUCUUUGCUCCAUCAGCUCUCGGAGCACCCUUGAAAAUAAAAGGCAUAGCCUCAAAAUGGCUCCAUAAUUCGGUUCCUUGCUCCAUCAGCUCUUGGAGCAUCCUUGAAAGUAAAAGGCACAGUCCUAAAAUGGCUCUAUAAUUCGGUUCUUUGCUCCAUCAGCUCUCGGAGCGUCCAAUUUUCGAAGCACGGCUCUGUGAGGCGCGCCGCGAGUGAGGCGUCUCGCUUGUGAAGCAUCCUUAAAUACAGCUCUUAGAGCGUCCUUAAUUGCUUUUUAAGCGUCCAAAUUUUAAAGUAUUCUUAAUUGCUCUUUGAGCUUCAAAUUUUUUAAGUAUUCUUAAUUGCUCAUUGAGCGUCCAACUCAUGAAGCGUCAUGCUCUUGAUAGGUCACACCCUUGAAACAUCACGCUCUUGAAGUGUUCUUAAAUAUAAAAUACAGCUCUUAAAGCAUCCAGCUCUUGGAUCGUCCUUUAAGCGUCACACUUUGGAGGACGCUAAAGUGGUUCAACGACCUGCAUCUUCGCUUCAGCGGUUCUACUUGAUUAUUUCUCCACUUCCAAAGUAUUUUAGGCUCUAGUUGUCCUUCACCUUCAAGGUCGAACAGCCUCUUCAAUUCAGCGGCUCUGCCUCUUUACUUCAUCGGCUCCCCCAACAUCCAAAGUUCUAGUCAUGACUUUUACGGCUAGCAAGCUCCUCGCCUCAUAGGAGGACGUCUAUUAGUUGCUUAUUGAAAAGUUUGAGCAGAGAGAUGAUAUUCUCAAAUCUGAUCGGAAAAGGAGGCGCUGAAAUAUUGAACCGAUGAACCAAGUGGCUCUGUUUUUUGCCUCCUCACUACAUCGCUCCACUAGCUCGGUGAGCGUCCCUUAAAUGGCAGGCAAUGCCCUACAACGGGUCUUAGGUAUCACGCCCCAAGGCUUCAUCUGCAAAACACAUUACCUCCAAAUAAGCCCUCUUUGCGAGGAAGCUAGUAUGUGAAUCAAGGCAUCUACGUUAACUUCCUUUUUUGUAUGCAAUAGUCCACCAACACUCUUCACUUGAAAAAGGUCAAGUGACAGCCCCAACGAGGGAAAAAUCAGGAGCGCAUUCAUUUACCCAUUAGACGGAAAUAUAGGUAAUCUCCACAAGAUGUUAUACUGAAAUCGAUCAUCAAACCUGAAAGCUAGAAGUGACAACAUUGAUAUCACCACCAAAGACGAUUCUCCAAGCUCACAGCCCACAGCCUCUCUACUUCACUGCAAAGACGGUUCUUCAAGUUCACAGCCCACAACCCUCUACUUCACUGCCAAGACGGUUCUCCAAGCUAAGCUCACAGCCCCUCUACUUCACUCGGCAGUUUAUUCUUUUAGCCAUCAUGUUCUUUCAGCAAUUAUCACCAUCAGAUUGGCUUCGAUUGUUUGGUAGAAAGCAACUAGAUAAGAAAGAGACUUUUUAUCGGCAAGAAUCUCAUCAACCUUCACUGCAUCUUCCAGCUCCUCAACUGCACUGCUCAACAGUCCUCGCCACAACGGGCACCAUCAACCUCACCACCUCAUGUACCUCUUAGAGAAAUGGCUCACCGCCUCCAAAAAUAAAGACUCAUAUUCGGAGGCAACCUAUUGGAAAAUGGCAACCAAAGAUCCUGCAUGUACCGUCCAAAAAUAAAGACUCAUAUUCGGAGGGCUUAGUUAUUUCAAAGAAAGGGACAAGCUGAUGAGGAGUCUUUUGUCGCAAAGGGUGCUGAGCAUCUUGAGGAUGAUGUUUUUGGCGGUGAACUAUAGCAUAGAGAAUGGCUUUCAUCCAGGUGGUGCCAGAUUUGGGUGCAGUUACGAGGAAGACAUCGUUUUCUCGAGGCCGAAAAUGUUGUUGACAGUCGAUCAUCCCUUGCAA